This is a long non-coding RNA of Brassica napus (rape), 632 nucleotides long. RefSeq lists it as uncharacterized. Lineage: Eukaryota; Viridiplantae; Streptophyta; Magnoliopsida; Brassicales; Brassicaceae. The transcript is spliced from 2 exons. The record is from RefSeq and is a predicted model, not a curated record.
UACUGCACAAGAGAUUGCCAGGCGAGCAGGGAUGGGAUGUCUUUGACUGAAUGAGAGAUUAGUCUUUCCAUUAUGGAAAAUGGAAGCCGGUUUCUGAAGACAGAAUCUUGUUGUUGUAGCCUAGACGUACCGAGACACGAGCUUGCAUAGAGAUUGAGAAGCUGAAACUUGUAGCCAUUAUCGAUCUUCAGGCCUGAUCUGAUCAAGAGAGAGAGAUGGCGGAUUGUACAAGGGAGUGUGAAUGCAGUGGUAGCUGAGUACUAUUGGGACGUAUUUAUACAAAGUUGGUCCAGCAGAAACGACAACGUAUUAAUGCAAUCAUUGAUUUGGUUGGGCUCUUGUAGUGCUCGUUAUUCAGACAACAAAGAAAAGCCUUCUUCUUUUUAUUCCAAAUCGAACUAAACCGUUCCAAACCGGUCCGGUCAAGUUCGAAACCGUUCCAAACACACAUUAACAAAUGUAUAGUUUUGUUCCAUCUUAACAAGUAAACAAAUACAUCGAAUAUAUACAUUGCAAUCAUAACCCUUUCAAAGAGUUUGCUUACUGCUCUCAAAACGUAGGGACAGCUCAGCUCUCUGUCCUCACAAACAAUAUUACAAAUAAAUAAAUUACAUACUUACAAUCACACACAC